CUUAACCAUUGAGUGAAGCCAGGGAUCCAACUCGCACGGUCGUGGAUACUAGCCAGAUGCUUAACCCAUCAAGCCACCUCGGGAGCUCCCUCACACUGAGUCUCAGCCUCCUCGAUCCCUCACCGUCUCAGCCACACUGCUCCUGGUGCACACAGGAGAUUUUGCCAGGAUCUGUCCACUUCCUAAAAGUCUUUUCCUCUGGACAUGUUUCCCCUCCAAUCACCCCCCUCACCCCCUUCUAGAAUAUUCUUUGAGCUGGUUUUCUCUGUCCUUUGUAUCUGCUUCCACCCUGAAGCUGAAAUUGGCGGGGGGGGGGCACCUUUUCCGAUGCAUCUCCACUGGACAGCUCCAUCUCCCUGAAAGCCUCAGAAAGACAGGAAAGUGUGACUUUCUGAUUUUAUUGCAACCAUCACUCACAUGCACAAGAUGAGGCCAGAGACGUGCACUGGAACCCCAGGAGCCACUGCCAGGUAAGCAGCUGUCUCCUUGGUUUAACUUUCAGCUGCCUGCAGACACAAAUACGCUGCCUAUCUGGCAGCCCAGGCCACCAGAAUGGGGGCAGAAGUGUUUCAGAUAAAACUAGUGCCGCAGCACCUGUCGGGCUGGAGAAAAUGUGUGUGGAGCGACAGGGAACCAGACGAAGAGGCUCACUGAGAAGCCACGGAAAGCCGCGUUUCUCCAGGGAAGACGUGCCCAAGAAGAGGCGCCAUAGGCGGGGACAGGAUUGUAACAGCAAGUGACAUGGAACCGGAAACAGGUCCCCAAAUGCUGAGGCAGAAGGAAGAAACUACACGGCAGAAACCACGGACGAGCUCGUGCAGACAGUGAUGAAGGCUGAAGCCAGGUGACCCAGAUGGAGCUCGUUAGAAAACGCAAGCCGUGAACUAGGUCUCCAAAGUGCAGGUCCGAUGGAAAACGUCUCUUUCCC
This is a non-coding RNA of Sus scrofa (pig), 928 nucleotides long. The record is from RefSeq and is a predicted model, not a curated record. NCBI's taxonomy places the organism in Eukaryota, Metazoa, Chordata, Mammalia, Artiodactyla, Suidae.